RNAcentral lists this transfer RNA (76 nucleotides) under TM7 phylum sp. oral taxon 350. RNAcentral describes it as "tRNA-Met". It matches the Rfam family "tRNA". From Rfam's summary of the family: Transfer RNA (tRNA) molecules are approximately 80 nucleotides in length. Their secondary structure includes four short double-helical elements and three loops (D, anti-codon, and T loops). Further hydrogen bonds mediate the characteristic L-shaped molecular structure. tRNAs have two regions of fundamental functional importance: the anti-codon, which is responsible for specific mRNA codon recognition, and the 3' end, to which the tRNAs corresponding amino acid is attached (by aminoacyl-tRNA synthetases). tRNAs cope with the degeneracy of the genetic code in two manners: having more than one tRNA (with a specific anti-codon) for a particular amino acid; and 'wobble' base-pairing, i.e. permitting non-standard base-pairing at the 3rd anti-codon position. RNAcentral also lists the same sequence under 2 other names. The record is from RNAcentral. Lineage: Bacteria; Candidatus Saccharimonadota.
GGGGGUGUAGCUCAUCGGUUAGAGCAGGCGGCUCAUAACCACUUGGUAGAAGGUUCGAUUCCUUCCACCCCCACCA